Molecule: transfer RNA, 72 nt
Filed under: Ictidomys tridecemlineatus (thirteen-lined ground squirrel)
Lineage: Eukaryota; Metazoa; Chordata; Mammalia; Rodentia; Sciuridae
Description: Spermophilus tridecemlineatus (thirteen-lined ground squirrel) tRNA
Rfam family: tRNA
About the family: Transfer RNA (tRNA) molecules are approximately 80 nucleotides in length. Their secondary structure includes four short double-helical elements and three loops (D, anti-codon, and T loops).
Source: Rfam by way of RNAcentral
GAGGUUGUGGCUUAGUAGUAGAGUGCUUGCCUGGCAUGCAUGAGGCAUUGGGUUCAAUCCUAAGCACCCACA